RNAcentral lists this ribosomal RNA (944 nucleotides) under uncultured bacterium. RNAcentral describes it as "bacterial SSU rRNA". It matches the Rfam family "Bacterial small subunit ribosomal RNA", at positions 551 to 1490 of the family's 1533-position model. The record is from RNAcentral.
UCACUGGGCGUAAAGGGUGAGUAGGUGGCCAAGUGUGUCAGGUGUGAGAUCCCGGGGCUUAACCCCGGAACUGCGCCUGAAACUACUUGGCUAGAGUCUCGGAGAGGAUAGUGGAAUUCCAAGUGUAGCGGUGAAAUGCGUAGAUAUUUGGAGGAACACCAGUGGCGAAGGCGACUAUCUGGACGAGUACUGACGCUCAAUCACGAAAGCGUGGGUAGCGAAAGGGAUUAGAUACCCCUGUAGUCCACGCCGUAAACGUUGCACACUAAGUUUCGGAGGAUUCGACCCCUUCGGAGCUCAAGCUAACGCGUUAAGUGUGCCGCCUGAGGACUACGGCCGCAAGGCUAAAACUCAAAGGAAUUGGCGGGGGCCCGCACAAGCGGUGGAGCAUGUGGCUUAAUUCGAGGCAACGCGAAGAACCUUACCUGGUCUUGACAUGCCCGUCAUAGUUUUCCGAAAGGAAUUCGUCAGUUCGGCUGGACGGUGCACAGGUGCUGCAUGGCUGUCGUCAGCUCGUGUCGUGAGAUGUUCGGUUAAGUCCGGCAACGAGCGCAACCCUCGUUCCUAGUUGCCAGCGGGUAAUGCCGGGGACUCUAGGAAGACAAACCUCGUGUAGAGGUGGGAAGGUGGGGACGACGUCAAGUCAGUAUGGCCCUUACGACCAGGGCUGCACACGUGCUACAAUGCCCGGUACAAUGGGAUGCAAUACCGCGAGGUUGAGCCAAUCCACAAAACCGGGCCCAGUUCGGAUUGGAGUCUGCAACUCGACUCCAUGAAGUUGGAAUCGCUAGUAAUGGCGUAUCAGCAACGACGCCGUGAAUACGUUCCCGGGCCUUGUACACACCGCCCGUCACAUCAUGAAAGCCGGUUCUGCCCGAAGUAUGUGAGCCAACCGCAAGGAGGCAGCGUCCUAAGGUGGGGCUGGUGAUUGGGAUGAAGUCGUA